Molecule: ribosomal RNA, 438 nt
Filed under: uncultured bacterium
Lineage: Bacteria
Description: bacterial SSU rRNA
Rfam family: Bacterial small subunit ribosomal RNA
Source: RNAcentral
UACGGGAGGCAGCAGUGGGGAAUAUUGCACAAUGGGCGCAAGCCUGAUGCAGCCAUGCCGCGUGUAUGAAGAAGGCCUUCGGGUUGUAAAGUACUUUCAGUCGUGAGGAAGGUGUUAAGGUUAAUAACCUUAGCAAUUGACGUUAGCGACAGAAGAAGCACCGGCUAACUCCGUGCCAGCAGCCGCGGUAAUACGGAGGGUGCGAGCGUUAAUCGGAAUUACUGGGCGUAAAGGGCACGCAGGCGGUUAAUUAAGUUGGAUGUGAAAUCCCCGGGCUUAACCUGGGAAUGGCAUUCAAGACUGGUUAGCUAGAGUCUUGUAGAGGGGGUAGAAUUCCAUGUGUAGCGGUGAAAUGCGUAGAGAUGUGGAGGAAUACCGGUGGCGAAGGCGGCCCCUGGACGAAGACGUGACGCUCACUGUGCGAAAGCGUGGGGAGGC